RNAcentral lists this ribosomal RNA (234 nucleotides) under uncultured bacterium. RNAcentral describes it as "partial 16S ribosomal RNA". It matches the Rfam family "Bacterial small subunit ribosomal RNA", at positions 524 to 755 of the family's 1533-position model. The record is from RNAcentral.
UACAGAGGUCUCAAGCGUUGUUCGGAUUCAUUGGGCGUAAAGGGUGCGUAGGCGGCACGGUUAGUCAGGUGUGAAAUCUCCACGCUCAACGUGGAGGGGUCACCUGAUACUGCCGAGCUUGAGUCCGGUAGGGGAGUGUGGAAUUCCCGGAUGUAGCGGUGAAAUGCGCAGAUAUCGGGAGGAACACCCGAUAGCGAAGGCGGCACGCUGGGCCGUUCUGACGCUGAGGACGCG